Molecule: long non-coding RNA, 1075 nt
Filed under: Coturnix japonica (Japanese quail)
Lineage: Eukaryota; Metazoa; Chordata; Aves; Galliformes; Phasianidae
Description: lncRNA (ENSCJPG00005001572.1)
Source: RNAcentral
UGUGGGUCCCCAUUGCAGUUAUGGGGGGUUGUGCUGUGGGUCCCCAUUGCAGUUAUGGGGGGGUUGUGCUGUGGGUCCCCAUUGCAGUUAUGGGGGGUUGUGCUGUGGGUCCCCAUUGCAGUUAUGGGGGGUCGUGUUGUGGGUCCCCAUUGCAGUUAUGGGGGUUGUGUUGUGGGGUCCCCAUUGCAGCCAUGGGGGGGUUGUGUUUUGGGGUCCCCAUUGCAGUUAUGGGGGGUUGUGUUUUGGGGUCCCCAUUGCAGUUAUGGGGGGUUGUGUUGUGGGGUCCCCAUUGCAGCCAUGGGGGGGUUGUGUUGUGGGGUCCCCAUUGCAGUUAUGGGGGGUCGUGUUGUGGGGUCCCCAUUGCAGUUAUGGGGGGUUGUGCUGUGGGUCCCCAUUGCAGUUAUGGGGCGUUGUGCUGUGGGGUCCCCAUUGCAGCCAUGGGGGGGUCAUGUUUUGGGGUCCCCAUUGCAGUUAUGGGGGUCGUGUUGUGGGGUCCCCAUUGCAGUUAUGGGGGGUCGUGUUGUGGGGUCCCCAUUGCAGCCAUGGGGGGGUCGUGCUGUGGGGUCCCCAUUGCAGUUAUGGGGGGUCGAGUUGUGGGGUCCCCAUUGCAGUUAUGGGGGGGUGGUGCUGUGGGGUCCCCAUUGCAGUUAUGGGGGGUCGUGUUGUGGGGUCCCCAUUGCAGUUAUGGGGGUUGUGUUGUGGGGUCCCCAUUGCAGUUAUGGGGGGUCGUGUUGUGGGGUCCCCAUUGCAGUUAUGGGGGGGUCGUGCUGUGGGUCCCCAUUGCAGUUAUGGGGGGGGUUGUGCUGUGGGUCCCCAUUGCAGUUAUGGGGGUCGUGCUGUGGGUCCCCAUUGCAGUUAUGGGGGGUCGUGUUGUGGGUCCCCAUUGCAGCCAUGGGGGGGUUGUGUUGUGGGGUCCCCAUUGCAGUUAUGGGGGGUUGUGCUGUGGGUCCCCAUUGCAGUUAUGGGGGUUGUGCUGUGGGUCCCCAUUUGCAGUUAUGGGGGGUUGUGUUGUGGGGUCCCAUUGCAGUUGGUCUGGUCCUGCGUUAUGGGGGUUGUGCUGUGGGUCCCAUUGCAU